GAUGAACGCUGGCGGCGUGCCUAAUACAUGCAAGUCGAGCGAACAGAUGAGGAGCUUGCUCCUCUGACGAUAGCGGCGGACGGGUGAGUAACACGUGGAUAACCUACCUAUAAGACUGGGAUAACUUCGGGAAACCGGAGCUAAUACCGGAUAAUAUAUUGAACCGCAUGGUUCAAUAGUGAAAGACGGUUUUGCUGUCACUUAUAGAUGGAUCCGCGCCGCAUUAGCUAGUUGGUAAGGUAACGGCUUACCAAGGCAACGAUGCGUAGCCGACCUGAGAGGGUGAUCGGCCACACUGGAACUGAGACACGGUCCAGACUCCUACGGGAGGCAGCAGUAGGGAAUCUUCCGCAAUGGGCGAAAGCUUGACGGAGCAACGCCGCGUGAGUGAUGAAGGUCUUCGGAUCGCAAAACUCUGUUAUUAGGGAAGAACAAAUGUGUAAGUAACUAUGCACGUCUUGACGGUACCUAAUCAGAAAGCCACGGCUAACUACGUG
Molecule: ribosomal RNA, 497 nt
Filed under: uncultured bacterium
Lineage: Bacteria
Description: partial 16S ribosomal RNA
Rfam family: Bacterial small subunit ribosomal RNA
Source: RNAcentral